This is a long non-coding RNA of Panthera uncia (snow leopard), 371 nucleotides long. RefSeq lists it as uncharacterized. The record is from RefSeq and is a predicted model, not a curated record. The transcript is spliced from 2 exons. NCBI's taxonomy places the organism in Eukaryota, Metazoa, Chordata, Mammalia, Carnivora, Felidae.
CCCGCUGCUGCUGGAGUUUUGGAAAUGUCCUAUAUCCGGCCCUGGAGGUAGGCUGAUGACAGCUGAAGAAGACUGUAUUUGCUGAGGAGCAGCAUGAUGGUAGAGAGGAGCAGAGCUCCUGAGGGAGACCUAAUGGUUCCUCUCCUUCCUGCACGGAGAUAAAGACUUAUAAUAAGCGUGCAUGUUCACCAUCUGGCUCUGUGCAUGUGGUCCUUAUGGAGGGGAAAGCAGCACAAUCUGUAAAUGAUCAGGAGCCAUGGCGCUCUCUCCAGAGAAUCCACGAUGCAAUCAAGGUGACAGAUGGCAUGGCCACUGCUGUGGCCUCAUGGAGAAGAUCAAAAUCACCUUCAAUAAACUCUGACUGAAAUGGG